Neltuma alba is the source of this 895-nucleotide long non-coding RNA. RefSeq lists it as uncharacterized. The transcript is spliced from 3 exons. Lineage: Eukaryota; Viridiplantae; Streptophyta; Magnoliopsida; Fabales; Fabaceae. The record is from RefSeq and is a predicted model, not a curated record.
CGUAUAACGUCUCUCUUUGAUGGUUGUACGAAGUCUGGCUAACCGGAUCAUUGAGUUGAUAAAAUGAAUUUUUUGAAGCUGUCAGAAACAGUAAUAUGGAGGAUGCCAAAGUCAAAUCCUCUGAACAAGAAAAAUAUCACCAAGCAAGAGAAUCAAGAAAUGUUGGAUUUACCUCUAAUCAAGGGAUAGAGGAAGUGAAAAAGAACAAAACUACAAUCUCAACUGAGCAAGACUUGUAUGUCUUUCUUCUGGGAGAAAAGGGAGACACUGAUGAUGAAGCAGCUCUGCAGUGACGUCCAAGAUAAGAAUGCUGGAAAGCUCCAUCUCAUCACCACCACCACCACCACCAUCAUCAUCUUGAAUUGCUAAAUUUGAUGCCUACAGGCUUCUUCUGCUCUGUUUUUCUGCCAAUUUUUUAAUUAAUAAUCGGGCUUUUGAGCCCAGUUAAAUUCAUUUUGAGUAGUUUCUUAAUUUAGCCUGAUCAACAAGUGUUCCCAAGAAGCUCCCUGAAUCCAUUUGAUUUCUUUUAUAUUGCCUCCAGGUGAAAUAAACUAUAGGGAUGCAGAAGCUACAGAACUAUUCAGCAGGAAGUUCUUGAAAAUAUAUUAUAUAGGUCAUGUGAACAGUGUAUAGCUGAGGGGACUCCAAGAUACAAGAUGAGCUCAUGAAACGGCACCCGUUGCCUGACCUUUUUUGCCCUUUUUUUUUUCGGGCCUGAUCCUUUUCAGAUAAAUGAGCUUUAUGGCUUAUGUUCAGUCAGUGUUAGAAGCUCACUUGGCUUUCAGAUGAUUGAAGAGCUGUUUUACAAAGCAAUUAUUCAAAUUAAAUUAUGAACAUUGACAUUUUGAGAAAAUGAACCUUUUAAAUUAGUGUGUGUGUAAUAUAGAGAAAAUUA